RNAcentral lists this transfer RNA (69 nucleotides) under Ictidomys tridecemlineatus (thirteen-lined ground squirrel). Its description in RNAcentral is "Spermophilus tridecemlineatus (thirteen-lined ground squirrel) tRNA". It matches the Rfam family "tRNA". Rfam says of the family: Transfer RNA (tRNA) molecules are approximately 80 nucleotides in length. Their secondary structure includes four short double-helical elements and three loops (D, anti-codon, and T loops). Further hydrogen bonds mediate the characteristic L-shaped molecular structure. tRNAs have two regions of fundamental functional importance: the anti-codon, which is responsible for specific mRNA codon recognition, and the 3' end, to which the tRNAs corresponding amino acid is attached (by aminoacyl-tRNA synthetases). tRNAs cope with the degeneracy of the genetic code in two manners: having more than one tRNA (with a specific anti-codon) for a particular amino acid; and 'wobble' base-pairing, i.e. permitting non-standard base-pairing at the 3rd anti-codon position. The record is from Rfam by way of RNAcentral. Lineage: Eukaryota; Metazoa; Chordata; Mammalia; Rodentia; Sciuridae.
GGGGCUGUAGCUAAGUGGCAGAGUGCUUGCCUAGCAUGCAUGAAGCACUGAGUUCGAUCCUCAGCACCA